UACGGAGGGUGCAAGCGUUAAUCGGAAUUAUUGGGCGUGAAGGGUGCGUAGGUGGUUAGGUAAGUUAUCUGUGAAAGCCCCGGGCUCAACCUGGGACGGUCAGAUAAAACUGCUUGACUCGAGUAUAGGAGAGGGUAGCGGAAUUUCCGGUGUAGCGGUGAAAUGCGUAGAGAUCGGAAGGAACACCAGUGGCGAAGGCGGCUACCUGGCCAGAUACUGACGCUCAUGCUCGAAAGCGUGGGGAGCAAACAGG
Molecule: ribosomal RNA, 253 nt
Filed under: uncultured bacterium
Lineage: Bacteria
Description: partial 16S ribosomal RNA
Rfam family: Bacterial small subunit ribosomal RNA
Source: RNAcentral